CGAACCGGAUUAGAUACCCGGUUAGUCCUGGCCGUAAACGAUGCAUACUAGGCAAUGGUGCGGCCAUGAGCCGCAUCAGUACCGUAGGGAAACCGUUAAGUGUGCCGCCUGGGAAGUACGGUCGCAAGGCUAAAACUUAAAGGAAUUGGCGGGGGAGCACCACAAGGGGUGAAGCCUGCGGUUCAAUUGGACUCAACGCCGGGAAACUUACCAGGGGAGACAGCAGAAUGACAGUCAGGUUGACGACCUUACUCGACGAGCUGAGAGGAGGUGCAUGGCCGUCGCCAGUUCGUGCUGUGAGGUAUCCUGUUAAGUCAGGCAACGAACGAGAUCCGCGCCUUUAUUUGCCAUCAAGAAGUCACGACUUCGUUGGGAACACUAAAGGGACCGCCGUCGAUAAGACGGAGGAAGGAGCGGGCAAAGGCAGGUCAGUAUGCCCCGAAACCCCUGGGCUACACGCCGGCUGUAAUGGUGCGAACAAUGGGCUGUAACUCCGAAAGGAGAAACCAAUCCCGAAAUCGCAUCUCAGUGGGGAUUGUCGACUGUAACUCGUUGACAUGAACGUGGAAUCCCUAGUAAUCGCGUGUCACCAUCGCGCGGUGAAUACGUCUCUGCU
RNAcentral lists this ribosomal RNA (616 nucleotides) under uncultured crenarchaeote. RNAcentral's name for it is "bacterial SSU rRNA". It matches the Rfam family "Archaeal small subunit ribosomal RNA", at positions 720 to 1334 of the family's 1478-position model. The record is from RNAcentral. Lineage: Archaea; Thermoproteati; Thermoproteota.